Molecule: long non-coding RNA, 1661 nt
Organism: Salvelinus fontinalis (brook trout)
Lineage: Eukaryota; Metazoa; Chordata; Actinopteri; Salmoniformes; Salmonidae
Exons: 3
Source: RefSeq, a predicted model, not a curated record
UGUCAGCUUUGAGUAAAAAACAUAACCCAUGCCAGCAAAAACAUAUCCACCAGUAUUCCCCACUGCCCAUUGAGACACUCUAUGUCCUUACUCCUUAGAGACCAAAGCAUAUAGCACUCUUCUUAAAGACAAGGCGUUUGGAACUGUAGAUAUUGGAUUGGCCCCCACUUUUUACAGCCCAAAACCAUCUUGAAGUCUGGCUUCCAUGUGGUGCUUUCUUAUUUUCCUCUCUUUUCUCAAAUUUUUGUCCAAUUCUUAAGUGCUUUUCAGGUUCCCUUAAUAGGCCACAGUUUCUUUUCUGUCAGGGUUCGCUGUUUUCCACACGCAGAUCAAGCCCAUCUGGAUGACCCUUCUAGGUGCCUAAAUUGAAACAUGGAGGCAGCGUUGCAGAACUGACAAGACAUCUGGCCGUAUCAAAAUGAGCAGAGACCCAUUCACCCUUUUCCAUUGACUUUCCAAAGCAAUGAGGGUAUGGAAGGGACUGCAGAGAUUUUUGAGAGAGAUGUUUUCCAUCUUCCCGUGCUGCCAGUUGAGAGGACAACAUUCGAAAGACAGGUAGGCCUACACCAAAUUUUAAUUAGGUAAACUUAGGUCUGUCAAAACUUCAAUAAACUUUCCGUCUAAAACUGCAAUGCAUUUUUAUUUAGGCUAUUAUAUCAAUGUUGAUGAAUAUAAAACCAUAAACUUACAUUACGGAUGCACGGACAACACUCUAGUCUAGUGUCUAGUCUACCUGAAGUGGGAGGGAUCAGCGUCCCAAAUGUCCAUUUCGGCACGCUGAUUGGUUGAAAGGAACAGCAUUUUUUUACGACGACGAUGAUGAUGAAGAAGAAGGUGGUGGUGGUGAUAUAGAAAGCAACAGUGAUGACGUCUUUUUGUAGGCAUUAACUCUGCCAUGGUUCGUUGAACAAAGCCUAUGGGAAAAUGAAUGGAGUUUUUGUAGGGUUUUUGGAUAAACACCGAAAAUAAGAUCUGUGGUAAACACAGGCUGAGGAGAUAUUAUACAGUUUUGUUCGAUGAGGUCAUCUUAAUCAGCUCACAUCACUUUUUGUGAAUUUUUAAGCAUUUAUGUAACUUCAAAAAACAUAAUGCACAUAAAGGAUUUGUAAUUCAUAAAGUUCAUGAUAACUGACUGAUACCUCAUAAAACAAAACGUAUAAAAUCUCAUAAGCCUGUUUUAACCACAGACCUUAUUUUCGGCAUUUAUUCCAAAACCCUAUUCUUUCCCCAUAAAUUUUGCCCAUAGUAAUGGCUGAACGAACCAGAUGUAAAUCAUUUCUGUUUUUUUAGGACAACAAACUGUCGAGCUCUGUGGGAUUGGAGUUUAAGAAUGUAAUGGUGAUGUCGUGAUGAUGAUUAGGCCUAUGAAUUGCACUAUAAAAAAAAUAUAUUAUUAUUUUGACCCCCUUCAGUUACAUGGUAGGCUAUUCCUCGGAAGUCACUCAUGUCAGGCUUCUCGGAUACACAACUGUGCUGCGCGGCUGUCAGCGUUGCGGUCUCAUUCAACACUGGAGACUUUGGCGCCAUCCCUGCGGACACCACUUCUGCCGUGAGUGCAUGGAUCAGAUCAUAGAUGAUGGUUUCCGCGACAUCGAGGGGCUUGGCUCAAGUCCCUGUCCACAGUGUAAAUCAGUUAUAGCCUAUUAAAUGUGUAACCGUGA